GACGAACGCUGGCGGCGUGCUUAACACAUGCAAGUCGAACGGAAAGGCCCUGCUUUUGUGAGGUGCUCGAGUGGCGAACGGGUGAGUAACACGUGAGUAACCUGCCCUUGACUUUGGGAUAACUUCAGGAAACUGGGGCUAAUACCGGAUAGGGGCUCCUGCUGCAUGGUGGGGGUUGGAAAGUUUCGGCGGUUGGGGAUGGACUCGCGGCUUAUCAGCUUGUUGGUGGGGUAGUGGCUUACCAAGGCUUUGACGGGUAGCCGGCCUGAGAGGGUGACCGGCCACAUUGGGACUGAGAUACGGCCCAGACUCCUACGGGAGGCAGCAGUGGGGAAUAUUGCACAAUGGGCGGAAGCCUGAUGCAGCAACGCCGCGUGCGGGAUGACGGCCUUCGGGUUGUAAACCGCUUUCGCCUGUGACGAAGCGUGAGUGACGGUAAUGGGUAAAGAAGCACCGGCUAACUACGUG
Molecule: ribosomal RNA, 468 nt
Filed under: uncultured bacterium
Lineage: Bacteria
Description: partial 16S ribosomal RNA
Rfam family: Bacterial small subunit ribosomal RNA
Source: RNAcentral